RNAcentral lists this ribosomal RNA (1242 nucleotides) under Triticum aestivum (bread wheat). RNAcentral's name for it is "partial small subunit ribosomal RNA". Lineage: Eukaryota; Viridiplantae; Streptophyta; Magnoliopsida; Poales; Poaceae. The record is from RNAcentral.
AUGAGUACCUGUAAAAAGGCCAGGGCGGAAGCUACGUCUGUUGUGAGUCCAGACAGACUGAGCUGUCUACCUCGAGAGAUAAAGGGCGAAAUCCUCUCCCAUUUGAACAUCGAAGAAGCAAUUAGGACUAGCACCUUAUCAAGUAUUUGGAGGGAUGCAUGGACUGAUACGCCAAAGAUAUUUCUGCGUGAUGGAAAUUUUCCAAGAACCAAGUUCGUUAUGUUGGUCGAAAUGGUGCUAUCACUCCACAAGGGAACAAUAGAGAAGUUUGAUAUAUCAGGUGAAGGAAGUUACCAUGAUGAGUUCGCUAGGUGGAUGCUCAUGCUGUCAAGGAGAUCACCAAAAUCAGUUAUAAUCAAUUUGAACUCAUGGCCAAGGUAUAGGAUUCCCUCAUGCCUCUUUUCUGUUGCUGAUCUGAAGUCUCUUCGCCUGGAAAACUGCAUUAUCAGCUUGCCCCGGGAAUUCGAAGGUUUCAAGAGCCUAACUUACCUUAGCCUGAACAUUUUCUCCUCCACAGACAGGGAUAUUCAAUAUCUGGUCUCCUUUUGCCCUGUACUGACUAAUUUGAGAUUAAGUUCUUUCGAGGGUAUCGACUGUCUAAAUAUUCAAGCUCCUAAACUGAAAUAUCUUCGUGUUAAUGGGGACUUUGUAUACAUUAAAUUGGAUGUCCCAAAUCUGAAAUGGGCCAUUCUCUCUCUUCGUCACGAAGUUAAAGCAUAUCAAUCUGUUCCAAUUGUCCAUGACAAGGAAAGCUAUCUCAAGCAGUCAUUGGGAAGCCUAAGUGACAUCGAAACACUUUCAGUUAGUGGUUUUUUCCUGAAGUAUCUAUCAAAUGGAUGCAUGCAUACGAAGCUCCCUGUCGUGUUUCGUCGCUUGGAGAAUAUUUAUCUUGGCAUAUGCUUUUGGGACCAAAGCGAAGUCUCGGCUGCUUGUUCAUUGUUUCAGAAAGCCCCUAACCUAAAGAUGCUUGAGCUAUGGAGUUACCCUUUGGGCCUGUCGGAUCAGGAUCAGGUAAGCAUUACUGUGCAAGUGCAAAUGGACCAUCUCAUAACGGCCAGUGUGGAAGAUUUCGGGGGUCUGGACUACGAAAUCAAUUUCGUGGCAAAGCUUCUGAGCUGGGCACCAGCUUUGGAAAAACUGAAUAUAAAGUGGAACGGCGAAACGGACUGCGGCAGGGUUCUUGCCAAGCUAUUAGCGCUGCCGAGGGUGUCUCCCAGGGCCAAGGUCACUGUUACAUUCUGA